AAGUAGGCGGAGGAGAAGAAACCAAAAAGGAUUCCCUUGGUAACGGCGAGUGAAUGGGGAGAAGCUCAAACUUCAAAUCAGGCUUGCCCUGACUUGUAAUCACGAAACGCUUUCCAACAGCGAGCGCGGAUGUAAGCCUUUUGGAAAAGAGCACGAGCAAGGGUUAGGGUCCUGCUUGCCAUUCGUAGUCUCCUGUGUACGGUUUGCGUUCUCAGAGUCGUGUUCCUUGGGAUUGGAGCGCAAAGUGGGUGGUACUCUUCACCUAAAGCUGAACAUCUGCUCAAGACCGAUAGCAAACAAGUACCAUGAGGGAAAGAUGAAAAGGACUUUGGAAAGAGAGUUAAGAGUGCAUGAAGUUGCUGGGAGGGAAGUGAACUGAACAAGUUUCGUUGGUGGGAUUGCCGCGUUGGCGCUGGAUGGAAGUGUGCCUCGUGGCACAUUGCUCUGACAGUGCGAGCGUGGUGUUUCUUGCCAGCAGCGUUGGCCUCUGUGCGGGGAUGAGCAAUUCAGCGUGGGCUCGGGAGUGAAGUUGCGACCUCACGAAAGCCCGUGUUUUGUCUUGCCCCCGGACUGAGCAGAUUGCAAGUGGCAUGUCAGCGAGUUGCUGAUGUUCGCCGUUUUGCAACACCUGACUACAUGGUUUGGUUCGCCCCGUCUUGAAACACGGACCAAGGAGUCUAAUGUGCAUGCGAGUUCUUGGGUUUUACGCACGCCAGCGCAAUGAGAGUGAGUGCUUGGAUUCCUGCACCAGCAACCAACUGAUCGAUUGAGAGAUGUUUGUGGGUGAGCAUGCACGCUAGAACCCGAAAGGUGGUGAACUAUGCCUGAGAAGUGCGAAGUCAGGGGAAACUCUGAUGGAGGCUCGUAGUGAUACUGACGUGCAAAUCGUUCGUCUGACUUGGUAUAGGGGCGAAAGACUAAUCGAACCAUCUAGUAGCUGGUUCCCUCCGAAGUUUCCCUCAGAUAGCUGGAGCUGGGCAGUUUUAUCA
RNAcentral lists this ribosomal RNA (989 nucleotides) under Amphidinium steinii. Its description in RNAcentral is "partial large subunit ribosomal RNA". It matches the Rfam family "Eukaryotic large subunit ribosomal RNA", at positions 44 to 1006 of the family's 3401-position model. The record is from RNAcentral. Lineage: Eukaryota; Dinophyceae; Amphidiniales; Amphidiniaceae.